CCGCCUCGGCCUCCCAAAGUGCUGGGAUUACAGGCGUGAGCCACCGCGCUCGGCCAAUUUCGAAGUGUUUUCAAACUACUGCAGCCCUCUCCCAUUGCUGUGGUAACUGGAUGGAAAUGCAUCUAGCAAGAGAAAAUGUACAUAAAGAUUACCUCCCUCCCUGCUCUAGGUUUCUGCAGGUGAGAAGGUGUCGUGAUAGAAUAAUGAACAUUUCCUGUGGGGCUGGCACUGUGUUCUACAUAGAACUCAUUUAAUACAACAACCGUAUAACGAGAUGAACACUGACAGGUUUCCCCCUCCCCCAAGAACAACAAUCACUAGUCUGUAGGGAGCUUCAGUUCUCUGCCCAGAGCUGCGGGUUUCUUCUUCUUUUUUUUUCUUUUUUUUCUUUUUUUUUUUUUUUUUUUUGCAGGAAGCAAGCCAUGUGCAUCAAUUAUCAGGAACGCUUUAAUCCAACUGGGACCCCAAACAAACACCCCGUUUUAAUCCCGGGUGAAGUGAUACAAACAAUUUACAAAGCCUCACGACCCGGCAGCAACCCGAGUCUUACGUGAUCUGGCGAAACUCAUCUGCCUCCUAAGCUCCAACGCCACUGCUUUUCUUUCCCUGUCUCCAGCACUCAGCUCCUUCGGGUCUAUGGCAAUUGUACUUGCUGUUCCUCCUGCCUGGAUUAGUCCUACAGCUUGCCCUGACUGCAUCCUUCUCAUCAUUCAGAUCUCAACGCAAGCAUCACCUCCUUCCUCUGAGGCCUUGGCCUUCAACAUCCCAUUCCCUACCCCACAUCAUUCCAGACUGGAAGCUCUAGAGCUGGCAUUAGAACACUGUCUGGCCCACAAGCCUUCAAUACUUCAACAAAUGCUUGUUGAAUCCAAAAACGCUGAUUACCCUUCAAUCUGCCAGCUCACCCCACUCCCUCUCAAAAUACCUAGGAGAAUUAAUUUACAAAGAAAACAUAAGCAAGCGACAGCGUAACACAUCGACUCAAAACAAAGCCGGUAAUCCGGGGCUGAACUGGUCAACGGCAUUUAAAGAAGGCCCCAAGAAAACCCUUUCCUGAUCGUGCACACACUUUUCAAGAGGCGAAACCAGGGGGACAGGGCGGUCGGCGGCGCAGCGCUGCCUACCUUGAACUCCGCGGAAAGUUGGGGCGUGUAUUCGCGAGUCCAGAGCGCGCGCACCAGCGCCGCCAGCUGCUCGGUGAC
RNAcentral lists this long non-coding RNA (1202 nucleotides) under Homo sapiens (human). RNAcentral describes it as "HSALNT0237043". The record is from RNAcentral. Lineage: Eukaryota; Metazoa; Chordata; Mammalia; Primates; Hominidae.